CUCGAAGGCAGUGGCUCGCACAUCCAUCUCCACGCCUCCUCCUUUCCCCUUUCACACCUCCCCUCAUCUCUCCCUCGUCAACACAGCCGCGACUCCGUUCUCCCUUCCUCUUCACCAUGGAAAACCACCUCCCAGGCGUCGCCAGCAGGAGAGGAGCCGGCUCCGCUCUCCUACGCACCCACACAAACAUCGUCGCCUUGGGUGAGGAGUUCGUGGGAGGAGAAGCCGAGAAGGUCGGGGAGUGGGAGGAGGAGGAGGAGUUAGUUCAGCAGAUCAGCAGCGGCAGUGCCGGGAGAGGAAGGGCCAUGGCGGCGGCGGCUUUCGGACUACGCGUUGAGCGGUAUCUCUCCGUGCCGCCGGGACGGCAAGCCCAUGGAGAAGCGCGGUCACCCCGGUACAUGGCCGUCUUCCAUCUCCAUCUGCUGCUCCCCACUCCUGCCGUCCCAUGGCCUGCGUCGCCGCUUCUUGGUUGUUCCCACCUGCUGAUACUACUCGGAUCCCUUGGCUAUUCAGUUCCUGUCUCCACAUCUUUGCAAAGUUUCCUGAAUGGACUCAAGAGUUAUGACUGUUGAGUUAGCAUCUUUCCAUCAAGAGAUCCGUGAAUAAAAGCGGCCUUUCUGGGAUUGUCAAGGCGGUGUUCAAACCUGGUGGUAAAGACCUACAAAAAGUUUGAGGUGGAAAUUUACGUCCUUGCCAAGGAUGAAGGUGGUCGCCACACUGCCUUCUUCUCAAAUUACAACCCAUAGUUCUACUUCAGGACAGCUGACAUAUGUGGGAAAAUUGAGUUUCCUCCGGACGUGAAGAUUGUUAUGCCUGGUGACAACGUAACUUCAAUCUUUGAGUUGAUGUUGCAUGUUCCACUAGAACCAGGGCUAAGAUUUGUGCUGAGGGAAGGAGGGAGGACCGUCGGCUCCGGAGUCAUUGCCGAAGUCAUGAGCUAAUAACAAAUGUUCCAGACCUUUCUCUUUUUACUUCUCAGUUAAUUCUAUGAUUUUUUUUCUAAGGAUUACAAUGCUGCAAAUCAAAUGUCCACCGUAGGAAAAACAAAUUAAGGUUCUAAAUCCUACAAUUUUUUAAAAUAAAAUUUCUACGAAUCAAAGGAGCCGGUAGAGUAGAAGCAUGCAACACACUAGCUACUUUUGCGUUUGAAGUAUGAGUACGGACAGAAGCAUCCCUCCGACUUAUUAGUGCAUCUCCAACGCCUUGCCGUAAAACGUCCAGGCCGACUUGUUCGGACGCACUUUGCCAUCCAAUGCGGACCAUAUUUCGUCCGUUUUCCCACAAACUGGAAGCAAACCUGGGAGACUGUGUGGGAGUCUAGAUCCCAUUGAAUCAAUAUUUAAGUAGCAGUAAGUAAUGACUACAAACACUCCAUGCAUCUACAGAUCGCUUGCGUCUCUCGCUGUGAAUCUAAUCUUCAGAUUUCUGUUGUCCACCACAAAAUAACUUGAUUAAAGAUACUAUGGGAUCUUGGAGACCUCAGAUGUAGGUGAGGAUGAGAUGCCAGAUAUGAAAUUAUGAAGGAUGAGACAUGUCUGAUGAAGAAGGCUCGGCUAGGAUGAUAAGAGGUACAGGCAGGGGUGCCCAUUUGAAUCUCAAGCAUGCAGAGAAAGCAGGGGUACUUGUUCAAAAGAUUCCAACUAUGAUUGACAACUUGAUAGACAAGACAUUUGCCUGGGAGGAUGAAAGCAAUACACCAUUUCUUUAUGACGUGGUUCACAUGGUUGCCAUUUUGGAAGAGCAAAAACUCAGGAGAGUACAGAAAGAGGAAGAUAAGCGACAAUACCGGAUAUAAAUUCCACAUCCUCUGCACUACACUCACAACAGAAGUCAUCAGUCUUGUUCACUGACUCUUAACAGAGGACCAGAAGAACCUGUACAAUCUAUUGCGUAAAGAGAAUGAGAUGAUAUUUGGGUCCAAGUCUGUUCCGAGGAAGAUAAGCAGUUUUAACAGGAGAACGAGGCUGGUUUCAUGACUCCGAUGCCCACACCCGAGCUUUUGACUCCACGCUCGUACUCUGGACGGUACAACAAUUACUUCAAGGAGAACCGGCGGAUGACGGUGGCACCACUCAACUUCUCGGUGGCUUCCAAGGAUGACAUGUUAUCCUUUGCCUCCAUGAGCGGCUCGGAGCCUGAUUCUCCAUUGGUUUUGCACUGAGCAUAAGACAGCGAUGGGGUGGCGGGCCGCACCUGUGCCCAUGUUGUCACUGACAAUCCACUUGGUCGUCGCCGACUAGGGUUGCCGUGCGGGAACUACGUGUUGACCACGGCGUGCCCGUAUGAUGCUCUACUUUUGAAACCUGCCAUCAGUUCCUUUUGAUUUACUAUUGUCUUUUGUUAUCACUGAUCUUAGUGUCCAUACUGUCACUGUUAGUAUCUAUGUUGUCACUCAUUAUACUGCUCCUGUUUAUACUGCUCCAGUCAGCAACUUGCACCUGUGACUAUUUUCAUAUUACUAUCUUGUUGCUCUCAUGCAAAUACGAUAUGCAACACUAACAAAGCUUGUAUCCAGAAGACUAACCCAAAGAAUAAAAAAGACAGUGGAAGGGGCGCAUCCCACCUGGUACCGCCCCAACUUCCUCUCGGGCGGUGCACCAAGGGUGCACCUCAAUGGUGGUGGAGCUCCCGGUGAUUCAAUGGAUGACUAUGGACGCAUGGCCGAGUCCACCACCAUUGAGUGUAUGUACAAGUUCUGCAGGGCAGUGGUGGCAAUGUUUGGACCUCAAUACUUGCGAUCACCCAAUGCCGGUGAUUCAAUGGAUGACUAUGGACGCAUGGCCGAGUCCACCACCAUUGAGUGUAUGUACAAGUUCUGCAGGGCAGUGGUGGCAAUGUUUGGACCUCAAUACUUGCGAUCACCCAAUGCUGAAGACACUGCUCGGAUCCUAGCACAGAAUGCAGCAAGAGGAUUUCCUGGUAUGCUUGGAAGCAUCGACUGCAUGCAUUGGAAAUGUAAAAACUGUCAAUUUGCUUGGCAGGGGAUGUACAAAGGCGCCAAAGGCGGUUGUAGUGUCGUACUUGAGGCAGUGGCCACACACGACCUCUGGAUUUGGCACUCCUUUGGUAUGCCAGGAACUCACAAUGAUAUCAACGUACUGCAGUGCUUCCCUGUCUUUGCCAAGCUUGUUGAAGGUCAUGCUCCUCCUGUGAACUUCGAGGUCAAUGGGCGCCACUACAACAAGGGAUACUACCUGGCAGAUGGCAUCUAUCCGAGAUGGUCCACGGUGAAGACAAUCUCAAACACUGUGCCAGGAGGCAAGAACUCCUACUUUGCCAAGUGUCAGGAGGCUUGCAGGAAGGAUAUCGAGCAGGCAUUUGGUGUGCUUCAAUCUCGAUUUGUUGUUGUCCGGUACCCCGCUCAGACCUGGUUGAAAGAUCAAAUGUGGGAGGUCAUGACUUGCUGUGUCAUCUUGCACAACAUGAUCAUUGAGAGCGAGCAGAAAGAGUCAGUGUUUGACACUGAGCCAUAUUACAGGCAGGGUCCUCUUGCCCAAGUUGAUCACCAGCUACCGGCAACCUGGACUGUCUUCCUCAAUAUGUGUCAGAAGAUCCAAGACCCACAGGUGUAUCAACAACUGCAGCAAGAUGUGGUGGAGCACCUAUGGAAGCUCAAGGGCAACGCCUAGCUCAACGUGUGAUGAAAUAUGAGUUUUUAUUAUUUGUUGAACUAUUUAAUUUAUAUUGAUUUUCUGUGAUGAACUAUGUGAUUAAAAAUAGCUUAUGUUGAAUUUGUGCCAAGUAC
RNAcentral lists this ribosomal RNA (3745 nucleotides) under Triticum aestivum (bread wheat). RNAcentral describes it as "partial small subunit ribosomal RNA". The record is from RNAcentral. Lineage: Eukaryota; Viridiplantae; Streptophyta; Magnoliopsida; Poales; Poaceae.